This 1120-nucleotide long non-coding RNA is filed under the name Gossypium raimondii (Peruvian cotton). RNAcentral's name for it is "long non-coding RNA (GRAI_LNC010922)". The record is from RNAcentral. Lineage: Eukaryota; Viridiplantae; Streptophyta; Magnoliopsida; Malvales; Malvaceae.
AUAAACAUGAAUGUCAAUUACGGAUCAAUUUCAAAAACACAACCAAAAAGUAUGUAGGCAUCCAUCAAAGUUAUUACAACACCAAAACAAAUUCCAAAAUAAGGAAAAUAAACCAAGAGUUUACAAAACUAAACCAAUCAUCUGCUUCUUGCUGCUCAUUUGCUUUCUUACUGGUCUAAUUUCCCUCUAAUUGGAAAACAUGACAAAGAAGAUCCCACUCACCAAGUGGACUUCUCCAAGUCAUAAAGAAAGUUGGCAACAUUCAUCUCACUUUUUGGUAAUGUUCAUCUCACCUCUAAUAGGUAGUUAACUAUCAAUUCAUUAAAUAUCUCAAAUUACAAUUCAUCAUAUUUAAUUAAAUUUUUUUACGAUUUAGUCCAUAUAUAAGCUUUUGUACAAAAUUGAAAACAAUUCAAAUUAUUAUUAAAAAUACAUAAUUUUUUAAUUCAAGUAUAUAACAAUUUAAAUACAAUCAUACUAUAUGAACUUAUCUGGUUAAAUCAACAAACAAGUUGAAUUGCAAAGACUAAUUGAUAAUUGUGCCUUUCCCCGAUUAUCCUUAGUUUGGUUCAAAUAUCAAUCUAUAUAAUAAUUCAAUCCAAUUUAUCAAUUUCAUACAUCCUAUAUCAUCCUAUUAUAUGCAUGUAUCAGUUCAAUUUUAUUAUUUGAAUGUCCUCUAAAGUUUUUCAUUUUAUUCAAUUUAGUUUCUAAAACCGAAUUUGCCAUAACUUUCAAGUUUGAGUUUCAAUUUUGAAAUAUAUAUCAAUUACAUCCUUUUAAGACUCUUUACUAUCAAUAAUUAUAGAAAUUUCACACCAAUUUUGAAAUAUAUACAUUUUAGUCCCUAUGUUCAAAAACUAACAAUUAAACUUUACAAUCUAGUCAUUUUUCAUAUAUAAGCUUAAAAACCUAACAAUUUAAUACUGAUUUCUUCAAGAAUUCAUCAAUGGAAAAUUUUAAAAACUUUAAUAGCUUUACAAAUUAGUACAUGGGCUAGCUAAAUCAAUCUCCCACGACCUCAAAAAAAUAAAAAUUAUAAAAAAAAUGACUUGAAAUCUUACCAAUUUGAGGGACCAAAAGUUAAAAUGCUCAAAGCCCUCAUCUUUCUUUCUCAUUUCGG